AACGCAUCUUGCGCUCCUUGGCAUUCCGAGGAGCAUGCCUGUUUGAGUGUCGUGAAAUACUCUCAACAUCAAUCUUUGUUGAUUUGAUGUUGGACGUGGAUGUUGUUGUGGAUAACACGACUCAUCCUAAAUGCAUUAGCGAUCCCGUCCUGAUCACCCAAUGUGAUAAACAAAAGCAUUGCCGGAGGAUCGAAGUCGAGGAUCGCUUCCAGCCGUCGAAAGACAAAACAUAUAUGUCAUCUGACCUCAAAUCAGGUAGGACUACCCGCUGAACUUAA
Molecule: unclassified non-coding RNA, 278 nt
Filed under: uncultured fungus
Lineage: Eukaryota; Fungi
Description: partial contains 5.8S ribosomal RNA, internal transcribed spacer 2, and large subunit ribosomal RNA
Rfam family: 5.8S ribosomal RNA (bases 1-52)
Source: RNAcentral